Molecule: long non-coding RNA, 223 nt
Filed under: Fukomys damarensis (Damara mole-rat)
Lineage: Eukaryota; Metazoa; Chordata; Mammalia; Rodentia; Bathyergidae
Description: lncRNA (ENSFDAG00000023258.1)
Source: RNAcentral
GCUUAGGGAAUAAUAGCUAUUAGUAGAAGAAGGAGGAGACCAUCCUGGUUACUCUCCAAGGAAGUAAUUCAGUGAAUCUGACUCCUUGGUAAGAAGUAACAUUAACAGAGCAAUUGGGUGCCUACCUGACUCUUGCCAGGACACAAUUGACAAGAUCCUGGGGGCCUCUGAGAAGAUAAUGAGGACAUCUAACACACUGGUAUUCUUCAAUCAUAGACAGGGC